ACGAGGUGAGUAACACGUGGGUGAUCUGCCCUGCACUUCGGGAUAAGCCUGGGAAACUGGGUCUAAUACCGGAUAGGAGCCAUUUUUAGUGUGAUGGUUGGAAAGUUUUUCGGUGUAGGAUGAGCUCGCGGCCUAUCAGCUUGUUGGUGGGGUAAUGGCCUACCAAGGCGGCGACGGGUAGCCGGCCUGAGAGGGUGGACGGCCACAUUGGGACUGAGAUACGGCCCAG
Molecule: ribosomal RNA, 229 nt
Filed under: uncultured Actinomycetales bacterium
Lineage: Bacteria; Bacillati; Actinomycetota; Actinomycetes; Actinomycetales
Description: partial 16S ribosomal RNA
Rfam family: Bacterial small subunit ribosomal RNA
Source: RNAcentral